RNAcentral lists this long non-coding RNA (669 nucleotides) under Bos taurus (domestic cattle). Its description in RNAcentral is "long non-coding RNA NONBTAT011455". The record is from RNAcentral. Lineage: Eukaryota; Metazoa; Chordata; Mammalia; Artiodactyla; Bovidae.
GACACAUUUGCCUUUUUCUUAAUAUCUAGAAUUAGAGAAUGACUUUUCAUUGGGAAAGUCAAAGCUUUUGUUUUUUCUCUGGGAUUCUGUUUUUGUUUUUAACUAUGUGAAAUGGCAAAGUGAAACUCGGGGAUUAGGUUUCAGCUUCCAGUGGUGUGAUGCAAGGCUGUGAAUUAGGAAGAAACAGACCUGUUUUUUGAGUAUUGCUGACCAAGGUCUUUAUCUCGGCCAUGAAGUUCAGAAAGAAAUGCCAUCACACAAAAGGCAUAAUAGAGAGAAGCUAGAAGGGGGCUAGUUAUUUUUGAAAAGGGGAGGCAUGUUACUUGAUCUUUUCAGUGUUUCAUUAGCAGAUUUUUUGCCCCUUUGUUCUGACUUAAAGUGCAAGGCCUUUUCUGAAGUAUUCUUGAUGGGAGUUUUGCUCCUGGGGCUCCCAUCUGUACACCUGUUACAGACCAGAAGAGGGCCUUCUCUCUUCUCGAGCUGCUUCAUGUGCUCAAAACACACAUGCAGUAGUAAAAUGUGUGGGUUUUCUGUGCUUUUUAAAGAUCUUUUAAUAAGACUUUUCUAAAUAAAUUUCUCAAAAUUAAAAGUGAGAGUGUCCUCUCCCUGUUUUCUCCCCCAUGCUCAGUCCUUCUGAAGUCAGAAGACUGUAUACAUAGAUGUUCAGAA